This 1554-nucleotide long non-coding RNA is filed under the name Stegodyphus dumicola. RNAcentral's name for it is "uncharacterized LOC118199471". The record is from RNAcentral. Lineage: Eukaryota; Metazoa; Arthropoda; Arachnida; Araneae; Eresidae.
UCAAAAGUUAUAAGCAAGUAAUUUGUAUGCUCAGUAGUUAGCAAUCAUUUUACCUUCGUUGCUUUGUGAUGCCUGUCGUCUUGGUUGAUUACCGAACGGAUGUGAAACAAUAUGUCCUUGAAGAUAAGAACACGCUGAAAGCUCUCACUAGAAGGAUUUCGCAACCGAAGAGAAAGCGCUUGAAAUGAUGCAGAUUGUCUUCCUCUUUAUACGUCCUUCAGAGCCCAUAUACACAAGCGGAAAUAUUGGGUUGGCCCGUUGUAACAUUUACUCAUUUUUCCGCUGGAGGGCAGUCAAUUGAAAUGGCGCUCUCCAAACAGGAACGCAGCUGGUGUGUGUUAGAUUUCCACACAAUGAAGAAUGUUGUUUCUGUUCAACGCGCGUUCAGACACAAAUUUGAUGUGGAACCACCUUCGAACAAGUCAAUUUUGAAGUGGUUGAUGGAUUUCGUCGAAGAAAGAUGCAUCUGUGACAAGCGGAAAGGCCGCUCUGGCCGACCAACAGUCCCGCUGUAAUUUAUUGAUCGUGUGAGGGAAACUUUUCUCUGGAGCCCCAAAAAGUCAGUGCGAAGAGCGAGUAGAGAACUAGAAACCCCCAAAAGUACGAUUAGCAAGAUGUUACGAAAACGUUUGCACUUUCAUCCAUAUAAACUGCAAUUGGUGCAGAAGUUAAAACCUGAAGACCAUGCAAGGCGACAGCAGUUCUGUUCGGAUCUCCAGCAGUUACUGGAAAAUGAUGACAAUCUUCUGUCGAAAAUCAUUUUGAGUGAUGAAGCAACCUUCUACCCGCAUGGUAAGGUAAACAGAUACAAUGUGGUGAUAUGGGGGGGAUCAGAAAAUCCCCACACCAUGCUGGAGAUACAACGUUAUUCUCCUAAGUGUAAUGUGUUUUGUGCCAUAUCAGAACAGAGAGUUUAUAAGGUAUUUCUCCCGCCUUCUAGCAUGCCUUCGUGGUGUAAUCGGAAGCAUACUCGACGAGUAUUCGGGAGGUCCAUGGUUCGAGUCCCUGAGAGAUUGCUCACUUUUCACGUAUCGUGCUUGGAACAAUGUCCUAAUGUUUCUACAAGUUUACAAGUUAUUAUUUUUCUUUGAAGGUGAAACUGUGUCCGGUGACAGUUACAUGGAUAUGUUACGGAACUGGUUGAUGCCUGAACUUACAAAGGUAGGUGUUCAACACGAUGGGGCAGCACUGCACUGGCAUCAUAAUGUUUCUAACUUUCUCAAUGACGUCCUGCCAAAGAGAUGGAUUGGUCGUGUUGGAAUCAAUUACGUGUGUGUACGUCCUCCCCCAGCUCCAUCCAUGGAAAUUCUGCAGGACAGAAUCACAGAAGCUUUAAACACAAUCACGUCGGAUAUUCUUUUCAGAGUAUGGAAUGAGCUCGAUUAUCGCCUAGCUGUUUGUCGUGUUACAGGUUGAACACACAUUGAAUGCCUGUAAUGAACAUAUAUCACAUGAAACUUUGAGUUGUUACACGUUUACCCAAAAAAUAAACACAAUAUUUCCCAAGGUUUUCAUUUUAUAACCAAAUAAAAUCGAGGAGUGUUUUUGUGCAUA